CCGGCGAUGUCCGAAUGGGGAAACCCAGUGCAAUUCGUUGCACUAUCGUUAACUGAAUACAUAGGUUAACGAGGCGAACCGGGGGAACUGAAACAUCUAAGUACCCCGAGGAAAAGAAAUCAACCGAGAUUCCCCCAGUAGCGGCGAGCGAACGGGGAGCAGCCCGGAGUCUGAAUCAGCUUGUGUGUUAGUGGAAGCGUCUGGAAAGUCGCAGGGUACAGGGUGAUACUCCCGUACACUAAAACACACAGGCUGUGAACUCGAAGAGUAGGGCGGGACACGUGGUAUCCUGUCUGAAUAUGGGGGGACCAUCCUCCAAGGCUAAAUACUCCUGACUGACCGAUAGUGAACCAGUACCGUGAGGGAAAGGCGAAAAGAACCCCGGCGAGGGGAGUGAAAAAGAACCUGAAACCGUGUACGUACAAGCAGUAGGAGCCC
This 438-nucleotide ribosomal RNA is filed under the name Klebsiella oxytoca. RNAcentral's name for it is "partial 23S ribosomal RNA". It matches the Rfam family "Bacterial large subunit ribosomal RNA", at positions 104 to 582 of the family's 2925-position model. The record is from RNAcentral. Lineage: Bacteria; Pseudomonadati; Pseudomonadota; Gammaproteobacteria; Enterobacterales; Enterobacteriaceae.